UCCGGUGACCGGGCCCCUCUGGCAAGCAGAACUGCUUGUGAUGUCGGCAUCUGGA
This is a regulatory RNA element of Rhodospirillales bacterium, 55 nucleotides long. It matches the Rfam family "terC RNA". The record is from Rfam. Lineage: Bacteria; Pseudomonadati; Pseudomonadota; Alphaproteobacteria; Rhodospirillales.